RNAcentral lists this small RNA (990 nucleotides) under Rattus norvegicus (Norway rat). RNAcentral's name for it is "uncharacterized LOC102547360". The record is from RNAcentral. Lineage: Eukaryota; Metazoa; Chordata; Mammalia; Rodentia; Muridae.
CAAUUCAUAACUAUUCUUUGUCUUAACAUUUGCUGUUAUACAGUGGCCAUUUUGAGAGUAAACUUAUGCUGGAAUAUAGGAAAUUACUAUUUUAAAGUAAGUUCCAAAGUGGUGUGCGGUGUGUUAGACUGGAGCCCUGCAAGCAUGAUAUUCACUUCUCUUUUCCUUUAAGGGCAGCAAUUUUAAAUCCUGACAAAACAGCGUUGCUUAUACAAGAUAUCUUCAGUAAGCACUUGUCAGCGUUUCUUAUGUUCCUGAAUAUCUUGUAGGAUAACCACCAUUUCAUCUUCACGUAUAAAAUUAAAAUACAGAAAAUAUUAAAAAGGAAAAAUUGAAAGAUGUUUGUGACGGUCCCUGUUCUUAGUUCUGCAUGUUGUUAGCCUGUAGCUUCUCAGGCAAUCCUAUCUGAAAGCAACAUUCUGAUUGCAUCAUAAUGAGGAUCAUAAGCUUGACUGAUGAGUAUUAACUUCUGAGCCUGUGUAGUAAAAGCUGGCUACUAAGCCCACAGGCAAAGCACCAAAUCCUCACCCAUGAUCACUUUCUCAGAAAAACAAAGUCUAUUGGGCAAGGCUUCAAAGGGCAAGGCUUCACGUCUUAAAGGUUCCACAGUCUUCUAAAACAGCACCCUAGUUAAAGACCAGUUCUUCAAACACAUGAAGCUAUGGGAGGAACACUGAGAAACAUUCUCUUCAGAUAACUUGUGAUGCACACCAAAUGAUGCUGAUAAACAAAUCAAAAGUCACUGCAGGGAUUCCAAUCAAGACUUGUCUGACCAUGCUGCACAAAUAAAAAUUCAGAUAUCAACAUAAUCUUUAAAUUUCACAUGUGGUGCUGGGGAAAUGGCCCAGCAGACAAUGUGCUUGUGUGUAAGCAUGAAGGACAGAGUUCAGAUUCUCAGCACCCAUGUAAAAGCUAGGCAAGAGUAAUUCCAGUUCUUAGAAGAUGGAGCUAGAGGACUCCUGGGGCAAGCUAGCUAGCUGGACCAGCCAA